Long non-coding RNA from Manis pentadactyla (Chinese pangolin), 2312 nucleotides. RefSeq lists it as uncharacterized. The record is from RefSeq and is a predicted model, not a curated record. The transcript is spliced from 4 exons. NCBI's taxonomy places the organism in Eukaryota, Metazoa, Chordata, Mammalia, Pholidota, Manidae.
GGCCAUCCCAGCACCUGCAGGAUGCCCAGCCCCAGAUGCUGCUGGCGUGCAACUCCUGUCAUGCCCAGCCAGGGGACUGCACGGUCAGGCCUCCGUGACGUGAUCCAGGAGGCAGCUGUCCAAGAGUUUGAUAAUCCCAGCAAUAUUAGCAGAUAAGUAUUUGAAAAAGUACGUAUUUUUAACAGGGAAAUCCUCCAGGGUCCAUUUUGAAGGUCAGUGUUUGGGAGAAGCCUACAGUCAGGAGGUCACUGAGGGACAGAUCAGGGGUGGAAGAGACUAGGUUCAUUUCCCCAGGGUCCACGGUCACACAGCCAGUUUGUGGCGCGGGCUAGGUCUCCAGGCCCGCACUGCGUGCUCUGGCUUAGACGGGGUUCACAGGGAAUCUAUGUCACACGGAAUUCUGAGACUCAGCCAGUCAGCCUAUGACGAAGACGUGUCUGCACAGAUUCCAGAGGCCCGAUCUGAGCACCCAAACCAGCUCCCCUGUGAAAGGACUUCAGCUCUUUGAUUCCAAGAUCUAAGGUCCUGGCCAGACUCCCUUCGCCUCUAUUUCCUGCAAGUCCACCUGGAAAACACGAGCCUUGGCCACAGCUCCGGCCUCUUCAGCGGGACAUACCAAGCAGGCUGUUGCCUCAGGAUCUUUGCUCACACUGUACUGUCUGGUCGUCUUUCCCCCGGAAUACACAGCACAGGCUCAGAGCUCCCUCACUUCCUUCAGGACUCUGCUCCAGUAUCCCCAGUCAGCAGAUAAAGUAAUGGGCAGUAAAUUCAAGACCAGUUCCACAGAUUGGAUCAACUUCCUCUUAACCUGCCUGACAAGAGUGAAGGCUCCCCCAACCCCUUGGUUUUAUAUUUGACAUGUUAAUGAGGAGGAGAUGGGACUACGUAAAUGCAAGCCACAGGUGGUUAAAAUGGUUUCAGCCACUAGCCCUAAUUAUAUAUGCCUUGAAAUCUUUUAGUGGAAAUGUCACACUAUAAACAUCGUCUUUGUUUCACAUCCUGUUCUUUUCCAUUGUUGCCUGACAGAAGAAGUACCAGUGAAUAGGGAAAUUACUUAUUUGGCUACAAAAAUGAACAUAAAAUUGGAGUCAUCUACCAGGCAGAGAACCAACAAAAUUCUAGGGAUUUUGGGGCUCCUGUUCCCAACACCCUUGCUUGUCAGAGGGGGAAACCCAGGUCAAGCAAUUCGCUGCAAAGUGCAAGUCCUGUGGCCCGUGCGGCCAAGACUGAGGCACCCUGACCUGCCCCAAGACCGUGUAUGUUCACCAGGACCCAGUAAUUAUCUUCUGACUGGUAUAGGAGGAGGGAGAGGGAGAAUUUCCACAGAAGACCUGCAUAUGACUCUUUUGAUGCUAUUCACAGUUCUGAAUUGCAAAUUACUUUUCAAAAUUAGUUAGCUCAAAAUACCCAGACACCUGGCCACAGACUGCCAACCUGAUGCUCAGAUGGGCGCCUUGCCCGGCUCGGCCUGUGACUCCCAUCACUCAGUUGCCCUGGACCCCAGCCACAGCCGCCUCCGCCAGGAGAAACAUGAGCGGCUCUGGGAACUGAUCACAGAACUGCGGCCGGACCAAAUUCUUCCAGAAUGGGGGCUCUGUGGCCCGGGACGCCUCACAGCCAGGACAUUUUUCUCCGCAAGUCAGCUCUGGGUAAUGGAAGCAAUUAGAAGAAAUUCAGAUGUGCACAGAACUUCUCUUUCUGCCUAAUAUGGAAAUAAUAAUUAACUGUCCAAACAUGUAAGCAUUUGCUCAUGGCUGAUGAUUCACCUUUAAAGUUGUGCAAAGAAAAUGUCAAACUUUUUAUAAAGUAAUUUAACAAUGUGUGUCAAGAGUCAUGAAAAUGUGUCUAUUCCUUUUGACACAGUAAUCUUAUUACUGGAAACUGAUCUUAAGAAAUUAUCCAAAAGAGAAAAGAUGUUCACUACAAAAUCUGAAUUAACUGAAAUGCCCAGUAAUAAGGAAAAGGUUAAUUGGAGCACAUCUUCCCAGGAACAUAUUACAUAGCCAUUAAAAAUGAAUGACAAGGACUGUCACAACAUGGACAAAAUGCUGAGGACAAUAUUAAAUGAAAAAGCAGAAUACAAAUUAUAUGUGCAUUAUGACUGUUCUGAUAUAUUUUGAUGUAGGAAAAACAUGAAGGCAGGAUUAUGGGUGAUUUUUUUCCCCUAGUUUUUCCUUAACUUUUGUAAUGUUGACUUACUGUUUCAGUAAUUUUCAAAAGGAAAACAGGUUAUGUACAAUGCUUCAUACACUACGCUAUACACAUUUAUCAGAACAUAAAUAAUUUAUAAAAAAUAAACAGUUCAUCUCAAA